RNAcentral lists this ribosomal RNA (3110 nucleotides) under Salmonella enterica subsp. enterica serovar Reading. RNAcentral's name for it is "23S ribosomal RNA". It matches the Rfam family "Bacterial large subunit ribosomal RNA". The record is from RNAcentral. Lineage: Bacteria; Pseudomonadati; Pseudomonadota; Gammaproteobacteria; Enterobacterales; Enterobacteriaceae.
GGGUUGUGAGGUUAAGCGACUAAGCGUACACGGUGGAUGCCCUGGCAGUCAGAGGCGAUGAAGGGCGUGCUAAUCUGCGAUAAGCGCCGGUAAGGUGAUAUGAACCGUUAUAACCGGCGAUACCCGAAUGGGGAAACCCAGUGUGAUUCGUCACACUAUCAUUAACUGAAUCCAUAGGUUAAUGAGGCGAACCGGGGGAACUGAAACAUCUAAGUACCCCGAGGAAAAGAAAUCAACCGAGAUUCCCCCAGUAGCGGCGAGCGAACGGGGAGGAGCCCAGAGCCUGAAUCAGCAUGUGUGUUAGUGGAAGCGUCUGGAAAGGCGCGCGAUACAGGGUGACAGCCCCGUACACAAAAGCGCAUGUGCUGUGAGCUCGAUGAGUAGGGCGGGACACGUGGUAUCCUGUCUGAAUAUGGGGGGACCAUCCUCCAAGGCUAAAUACUCCUGACUGACCGAUAGUGAACCAGUACCGUGAGGGAAAGGCGAAAAGAACCCCGGCGAGGGGAGUGAAAAAGAACCUGAAACCGUGUACGUACAAGCAGUGGGAGCCCCACCACCAAAGCAUUCUAUGGUGUUGAAGGCCCUGCAAAGCAGCAUCGCGGUGGCGGAGCGUCGUUUGCGACGCCCAACACACAAAACAAGCGGUGAGUGCUUUGGGGUGGGGUGACUGCGUACCUUUUGUAUAAUGGGUCAGCGACUUAUAUUCUGUAGCAAGGUUAACCGAAUAGGGGAGCCGGAGGGAAACCGAGUCUUAAUUGGGCGUUAAGUUGCAGGGUAUAGACCCGAAACCCGGUGAUCUAGCCAUGGGCAGGUUGAAGGUUGGGUAACACUAACUGGAGGACCGAACCGACUAAUGUUGAAAAAUUAGCGGAUGACCUGUGGCUGGGGGUGAAAGGCCAAUCAAACCGGGAGAUAGCUGGUUCUCCCCGAAAGCUAUUUAGGUAGCGCCUCGUGAAUUCAUCUCCGGGGGUAGAGCACUGUUUCGGCUAGGGGGCCAUCCCGGCUUACCAACCCGAUGCAAACUGCGAAUACCGGAGAAUGUUAUCACGGGAGACACACGGCGGGUGCUAACGUCCGUCGUGAAGAGGGAAACAACCCAGACCGCCAGCUAAGGUCCCAAAGUCAUGGUUAAGUGGGAAACGAUGUGGGAAGGCCCAGACAGCCAGGAUGUUGGCUUAGAAGCAGCCAUCAUUUAAAGAAAGCGUAAUAGCUCACUGGUCGAGUCGGCCUGCGCGGAAGAUGUAACGGGGCUAAACCAUGCACCGAAGCUGCGGCAGCGAACGUAUCACUUAAAGCGAUUCAGCGGGUUACGAUUGACGGAGCGAAGCGACGUCAAAGCGUAUACAAAGUCGAGUCGGUUUAAGGAUACGUUCGUUGGGUAGGGGAGCGUUCUGUAAGCCUGUGAAGGUGUGUCGUGAGGCAUGCUGGAGGUAUCAGAAGUGCGAAUGCUGACAUAAGUAACGAUAAAGCGGGUGAAAAGCCCGCUCGCCGGAAGACCAAGGGUUCCUGUCCAACGUUAAUCGGGGCAGGGUGAGUCGACCCCUAAGGCGAGGCCGAAAGGCGUAGUCGAUGGGAAACGGGUUAAUAUUCCCGUACUUGGUGUUACUGCGAAGGGGGGACGGAGAAGGCUAUGUUGGCCGGGCGACGGUUGUCCCGGUUUAAGCGUGUAGGUGUGUGUUCCAGGUAAAUCCGGUUCACUUUAACACUGAGGCGUGACGACGAGGCACUACGGUGCUGAAGCAACAAAUGCCCUGCUUCCAGGAAAAGCCUCUAAGCAUCAGGUAACACGAAAUCGUACCCCAAACCGACACAGGUGGUCAGGUAGAGAAUACCAAGGCGCUUGAGAGAACUCGGGUGAAGGAACUAGGCAAAAUGGUGCCGUAACUUCGGGAGAAGGCACGCUGACACGUAGGUGAAGUGAUUUACUCAUGGAGCUGAAGUCAGUCGAAGAUACCAGCUGGCUGCAACUGUUUAUUAAAAACACAGCACUGUGCAAACACGAAAGUGGACGUAUACGGUGUGACGCCUGCCCGGUGCCGGAAGGUUAAUUGAUGGGGUCAGCGCAAGCGAAGCUCCUGAUCGAAGCCCCGGUAAACGGCGGCCGUAACUAUAACGGUCCUAAGGUAGCGAAAUUCCUUGUCGGGUAAGUUCCGACCUGCACGAAUGGCGUAAUGAUGGCCAGGCUGUCUCCACCCGAGACUCAGUGAAAUUGAACUCGCUGUGAAGAUGCAGUGUACCCGCGGCAAGACGGAAAGACCCCGUGAACCUUUACUAUAGCUUGACACUGAACAUUGAGCCUUGAUGUGUAGGAUAGGUGGGAGGCUUUGAAGCGUGGACGCCAGUCUGCGUGGAGCCGACCUUGAAAUACCACCCUUUAAUGUUUGAUGUUCUAACGUGGACCCGUAAUCCGGGUUGCGGACAGUGUCUGGUGGGUAGUUUGACUGGGGCGGUCUCCUCCUAAAGAGUAACGGAGGAGCACGAAGGUUGGCUAAUCCUGGUCGGACAUCAGGAGGUUAGUGCAAUGGCAUAAGCCAGCUUGACUGCGAGCGUGACGGCGCGAGCAGGUGCGAAAGCAGGUCAUAGUGAUCCGGUGGUUCUGAAUGGAAGGGCCAUCGCUCAACGGAUAAAAGGUACUCCGGGGAUAACAGGCUGAUACCGCCCAAGAGUUCAUAUCGACGGCGGUGUUUGGCACCUCGAUGUCGGCUCAUCACAUCCUGGGGCUGAAGUAGGUCCCAAGGGUAUGGCUGUUCGCCAUUUAAAGUGGUACGCGAGCUGGGUUUAGAACGUCGUGAGACAGUUCGGUCCCUAUCUGCCGUGGGCGCUGGAGAACUGAGGGGGGCUGCUCCUAGUACGAGAGGACCGGAGUGGACGCAUCACUGGUGUUCGGGUUGUCAUGCCAAUGGCACUGCCCGGUAGCUAAAUGCGGAAGAGAUAAGUGCUGAAAGCAUCUAAGCACGAAACUUGCCCCGAGAUGAGUUCUCCCUGAGACUUAGAGUCUCCUGAAGGAACGUUGAAGACGACGACGUUGAUAGGCCGGGUGUGUAAGCGCAGCGAUGCGUUGAGCUAACCGGUACUAAUGAACCGUGAGGCUUAACCUUACAACGCCGAAG